This 96-nucleotide Y RNA is filed under the name Prolemur simus (greater bamboo lemur). Its description in RNAcentral is "Y RNA (ENSPSMG00000010496.1)". It matches the Rfam family "Y RNA". From Rfam's summary of the family: Y RNAs are components of the Ro ribonucleoprotein particle (Ro RNP), in association with Ro60 and La proteins. The Y RNAs and Ro60 and La proteins are well conserved, but the function of the Ro RNP is not known. In humans the RNA component can be one of four small RNAs -- hY1, hY3, hY4 and hY5. The record is from Rfam by way of RNAcentral. Lineage: Eukaryota; Metazoa; Chordata; Mammalia; Primates; Lemuridae.
GGCUGGUCUGAUGGUAGUGGAUUAUGAGAACUUAUUAACAUCAGUGUCACUAAAGUUGGUAUUCAACCCCCCACUGCUAAAUUUUACUGGCUUAAA